GCCAGGUGUGGUGACUUAUGCCUGUAGUUCCAGCUGCUUUUGAGGCUGAGGCAGGAGGAUCACUUGAGCCCAGGAGUUCAAGGCUGCAGUGAGCUAUAAUCAUGCCACUGCACUCCAGCCUGGGCAACAGAGUAAGACCCUGUCUCUU
This is a non-coding RNA of Homo sapiens (human), 148 nucleotides long. It matches the Rfam family "Metazoan signal recognition particle RNA". From Rfam's summary of the family: The signal recognition particle (SRP) is a universally conserved ribonucleoprotein. The record is from Rfam. NCBI's taxonomy places the organism in Eukaryota, Metazoa, Chordata, Mammalia, Primates, Hominidae.